GUUAAUAAAAAUCGGGUGCGUUGCAAUUUUUGUGACGUUUCCGGAGUUUGAGUUAUCUUAAUUAACUUCGGUUUUUAAGAGGCUUAAAAUUGACCUUUUUUUGUGCAUUUUAGACGUACAUAAAUUUUUUUUUAUUCGUCCAUCCUAAUGCCAAAAUCUAUUAGAUGCGACCAUAUCUUGUGGUUCCGUGUCUAUAAAUUUUUCAUG
Molecule: unclassified non-coding RNA, 207 nt
Filed under: Rhizophagus intraradices
Lineage: Eukaryota; Fungi; Glomeromycota; Glomeromycetes; Glomerales; Glomeraceae
Description: partial internal transcribed spacer 2
Source: RNAcentral